RNAcentral lists this transfer RNA (72 nucleotides) under Flavobacteriales bacterium. RNAcentral describes it as "tRNA-Pro". It matches the Rfam family "tRNA". Rfam says of the family: Transfer RNA (tRNA) molecules are approximately 80 nucleotides in length. Their secondary structure includes four short double-helical elements and three loops (D, anti-codon, and T loops). Lineage: Bacteria; Pseudomonadati; Bacteroidota; Flavobacteriia; Flavobacteriales. The record is from RNAcentral.
GCCAGGAUGGUCUAGUGGUAUGAUUCUUGCUUUGGGUGCAAGAGAUCCCGGGUUCGAUUCCCGGUCCUGGCC